UCUGUAUCAUCAAGAUCCGUUGGCCCCUGAGGUUUGAGCAGUCCUAUUGGCCCUUAUACUCAUGCUCAUGAAUUUUGAAGACCUGCUGGCCCUUGAGAUUAAAGUAGGCCCAUUGACCCUUAUACUCAUCCUUGUAUAUUCUUAAAGUCCAUUGGCCCUCGAGAUCUAAGUAGGCCUGCCAGUCCUUAUACUCCACCUCAAUCAGAUAUUCUCUUUUCAUUAAGGCCUAC
RNAcentral lists this long non-coding RNA (230 nucleotides) under Elaeis guineensis (African oil palm). RNAcentral's name for it is "long non-coding RNA (EGUI_LNC031929)". Lineage: Eukaryota; Viridiplantae; Streptophyta; Magnoliopsida; Arecales; Arecaceae. The record is from RNAcentral.